RNAcentral lists this ribosomal RNA (519 nucleotides) under Sporothrix sp. INBio2580B. Its description in RNAcentral is "eukaryotic LSU rRNA". The stretch from base 125 to 278 matches the Rfam family "5.8S ribosomal RNA". Lineage: Eukaryota; Fungi; Ascomycota; Sordariomycetes; Ophiostomatales; Ophiostomataceae. The record is from RNAcentral.
UUCUCGUUGCUUCUGGCAGGCGGCGGCCCUCUCUGGAGGGCGCGGCCUGCCUGCCAGAGGCGGCUUGCACGAACCUUCUAUUUUUCUUACCUGACCGUCUGAGUACGAUUUUGAAUCAAAUCAAAACUUUCAACAACGGAUCUCUUGGCUCUGGCAUCGAUGAAGAACGCAGCGAAAUGCGAUAAGUAAUGUGAAUUGCAGAAUUCAGCGAAUCAUCGAAUCUUUGAACGCACAUUGCGCCUGCCAGCAUUCUGGCAGGCAUGCCUGUCCGAGCGUCAUUUCCACCCUCAUGCGCCCUGUCUGCGCGUGGUGUUGGGGCUCUGCUCUCCCUGCCCUGGUGCGGGAGAGGCCCUGAAAGCGAGUGGCGGGCCGCCUGGUUGGCUCCGAGCGCAGUAGAAACGCACUGUUUUUUUCAUCGCUCUGGACGUCGCCGGCGGCGCCUGCCGUCAAAACGCACAAUGACGUGCAACUUUUUACAAGGUUGACCUCGGAUCAGGUAGGACUACCCGCUGAACUUAA